Molecule: long non-coding RNA, 609 nt
Filed under: Phoenix dactylifera (date palm)
Lineage: Eukaryota; Viridiplantae; Streptophyta; Magnoliopsida; Arecales; Arecaceae
Description: long non-coding RNA (PDAC_LNC008843)
Source: RNAcentral
UUGAGCAGAUUCAAAGAGUCAUCAAGAGCUCCAUCCUCCCUUGAAGAGUGAAGCAUCCUUGACAAAGAAGAGCAAAGCCACUUCAAAGCGAUAAAUACUUUCUAACUCUUCUUUGUAGUUAAUAUUGUUUCAUAUGCUCAUUUAGGAGUUUGAAUCUUUUCUUUUGUUUGUCAAACAAUUUGUAAAGGUUCGUUGGUGAACCCGUAAAACCAACAAAGGUUUUUGGUGAACCCGAAAACCAAAGUCUAAAGGUUCGUUGGUGAACCCGUAAAACCAACAAAGGUUUUUGGUGAACCCGGAAAACCAAAGUGUAUAGGUUCGUUGGUGAGCCCGUAAAACCAACAAAGGUUUUUGGAUUGUGAGCCCGGAAAAUAAUCCAACUGUAAUCCGCGAGAUUAUAGUGAAUUCCCAAGGGGUCGCUUGGGGAGUGAACGUAGGUGCUAAGGAGAGCACCGAACCACUAUAUAUUGUUGUGUUUGUGUUGUGCUUGUGUUUACAUUUAUUCUUGCAUUACCUUCUAUCUUUGUUCCAGUUUAACUCAUUCUAAUAAUCUAAGAAAGCAACCACCGCACUUAAUUAAGAAAGCUUUUAAAGCACCAAAAUUUAGNN